ACUCCUACGGNAGGCAGCAGUGGGGAAUCUUGGACAAUGGGCGCAAGCCUGAUCCAGCCAUGCCGCGUGAGUGAUGAAGGCCUUAGGGUCGUAAAGCUCUUUCGCCAGGGAUGAUAAUGACAGUACCUGGUAAAGAAACCCCGGCUAACUCC
RNAcentral lists this ribosomal RNA (152 nucleotides) under uncultured Alphaproteobacteria bacterium. RNAcentral's name for it is "partial 16S ribosomal RNA". It matches the Rfam family "Bacterial small subunit ribosomal RNA", at positions 335 to 504 of the family's 1533-position model. Lineage: Bacteria; Pseudomonadati; Pseudomonadota; Alphaproteobacteria. The record is from RNAcentral.